RNAcentral lists this ribosomal RNA (408 nucleotides) under bacterium enrichment culture clone ALO1_GLFRUDD03G3BRC. RNAcentral describes it as "bacterial SSU rRNA". It matches the Rfam family "Bacterial small subunit ribosomal RNA", at positions 9 to 417 of the family's 1533-position model. The record is from RNAcentral. RNAcentral also lists the same sequence under 1 other name.
GAGUUUGAUCAUGGCUCAGAUUGAACGCUGGCGGCAUGCCUUACACAUGCAAGUCGAACGGCAGCACGGGAGCUUGCUCCUGGUGGCGAGUGGCGAACGGGUGAGUAAUGCAUCGGAACGUAUCCUGGAGUGGGGGAUAACGUAGCGAAAGUUACGCUAAUACCGCAUAUUCUGUGAGCAGGAAAGCGGGGGACCUUCGGGCCUCGCGCUCUUGGAGCGGCCGAUGUCGGAUUAGCUAGUUGGUGAGGUAAAGGCUCACCAAGGCGACGAUCCGUAGCAGGUCUGAGAGGAUGAUCUGCCACACUGGAACUGAGACACGGUCCAGACUCCUACGGGAGGCAGCAGUGGGGAAUUUUGGACAAUGGGGGCAACCCUGAUCCGGCCAUGCCGCGUGAGUGAAGAAGGCCU